Molecule: ribosomal RNA, 437 nt
Rfam family: Bacterial small subunit ribosomal RNA
ACGGAAGGCAGCAGUGGGGAAUAUUGGGCAAUGGGCGAAAGCCUGACCCAGCAACGCCGCGUGAAGGAAGAAGGUCUUCGGAUUGUAAACUUCUUUUAUGUAGGACGAAGAAAGUGACGGUACUACAUGAAUAAGCCACGGCUAACUACAUGCCAGCAGCCGCGGUAAUACGUAGGUGGCAAGCGUUAUCCGGAUUUACUGGGUGUAAAGGGCGCGUAGGCGGGGAUGCAUGUCAGAUGUGAAAUCCAUGGGCUCAACCCAUGAACUGCAUUUGAAACUGUGUCUCUUGAGUGUCGGAGAGGUAGAUGGAAUUCCUAGUGUAGCGGUGAAAUGCGUAGAUAUUAGGAGGAACACCAGUGGCGAAGGCGAUCUACUGGACGAUAACUGACGCUGAGGCGCGAAAGCGUGGGGAGCAAACAGGAUUAGAUACCCUGGUA